GCGCCCGUAGCUCAGCGGAUAGAGCGCUUGACUACGAAUCAAGAGGUCCCAGGUUCAAAUCCCGGCGGGCGCACCA
RNAcentral lists this transfer RNA (76 nucleotides) under Sulfobacillus thermosulfidooxidans. RNAcentral describes it as "tRNA-Arg". It matches the Rfam family "tRNA". From Rfam's summary of the family: Transfer RNA (tRNA) molecules are approximately 80 nucleotides in length. Their secondary structure includes four short double-helical elements and three loops (D, anti-codon, and T loops). The record is from RNAcentral. RNAcentral also lists the same sequence under 2 other names. Lineage: Bacteria; Bacillati; Bacillota; Clostridia; Eubacteriales; Clostridiales Family XVII. Incertae Sedis.